UGAGUAACCUGCCCUGGACUUUGGGAUAACCCUCGGAAACGGGGGCUAAUACCGGAUAUGACAUGCUCUCGCAUGGGGGUGUGUGGAAAGUUUUUUUCGGUCUGGGAUGGGCUCGCGGCCUAUCAGCUUGUUGGUGGGGUGAUGGCCUACCAAGGCGACGACGGGUAGCCGGCCUGAGAGGGUGACCGGCCACACUGGGACUGAGACACGGCCCAGACUCCGUACGGGAGGCA
RNAcentral lists this ribosomal RNA (233 nucleotides) under uncultured bacterium. RNAcentral describes it as "partial 16S ribosomal RNA". It matches the Rfam family "Bacterial small subunit ribosomal RNA", at positions 118 to 350 of the family's 1533-position model. The record is from RNAcentral.